UCUGUGUCUUUUUAUUGGGACACAGCCACCGCCAUUCCUUUAGCUUUUGUAUGCAACAGCUGCAGAGUUGACUAUUUGAGACACGUUGUAUGGUCCCCUCAAACUGGAACUGUUUCCAUUCUGGCCUUCUACAGAAAGUAUUUGGACCCUGGCCUAGAUAAAUCUGGCUGGUGGUUAUGUUAUGUGAAAUGUGCACACUGCAAAAUAUAGGGCUGUAUGAUUAAAAUUUUUGAUUUCAGCUACUGUUCAUAGUCGAUUUAAAGGGCAAUUUAAUUUACAGCAAAUCCAGUUUCUCGGAGAUUUGUGUUGGGGUUUUGGCAGCAAAAAAAAAUCCUAGGAGUAAUCUUGAGAGUUCCAUGCCCCCUAGUGGAUUGCUAUAGGGUUUACUUUUAAAUUUUCAAAACACUGAAUUGGCCAAGGAUUUCCUUGGUCCAUAUUAUCCCAAGGGUCAGAGGCUGAAGACCUGGGCAGAUGCUCACAGGUACUGUCAUGGCCUGGGCAAAUCUAGCCACGUCAGCGCUCAUUUCUAUUCCCUUUCCCACAUUCCAGCAAACAAGAGACUAGGCUUGAAGGGACCCACCUUCCUCUCCUCCGAUUCCUCGUGACGCCGCACGCCUCUUACUCUCCCCGGGGCUCAUCCGGGGGAAUGGGGCAGAGAUUAUGUCCCACCGGUUGGACGAACUAACGAGGGCGGGGAAAGGAAAAAAAAAAAAUCAGAAUAGGCAGCCAAUCAGAGCUCGGCACAAGUCCAGCCAAUCGGGUCGGGUCAAUUGGGGCUUAGCCAAUCGGGCUCGAUGAGGAAGACCUGAGUCAGAGCUUGCGCUUCUCGCUUCCAUCUGUGGGUGGCGCUAGGCUGGUUCAGCCGGACCGGGUAGGGGUCCUCGCUCGCUAGCUCGCUGUUUCUCGGAGAAGCCCCCGAGUGUCCGGCCUAGAGGCCAUGAGAAGGCAGUGGGGGUCUGCCAUGAGGGCGGCCGAGCAGGCGGGCUGCGUAGUGAGCGCCUCCCGGGCCGGACAGCCCGAGGCGGGCCCAUGGAGCUGCAGCGGGGUAAUCCUGAGCCGUAGCCCGGGCCUGGUGCUUUGCCACGGGGGCAUCUUCGUCCCCUUCCUGCGAGCUGGCAGCGAAGUCCUGACCGCGGCCGGCGCCGUCUUCCUGCCUGGCGACAGUUGCAGCGACGACCUGCGCCUGCACGUGCAGUGGGCCCCAACGGCCGCGGGUCCCGGCGGCGGCGCGGAGCGGGGCCGCCCAGGGCUGUGCACGCCCCAGUGCGCGAGCCUCGAGCCCGGCCCACCUGCCCCGUCCCGCGGGCGUCCCUUGCAGCCCCGGCUUCCCGCUGAGCUGCUGCUGCUGCUGAGCUGCCCGGCCUUCUGGGCCCACUUCGCGCGCCUCUUCGGGGACGAGGCAGCGGAACAGUGGCGCUUCUCGAGCGCGGCGCGGGAUGACGAAGUGUCGGAGGACGAGGAGGCGGAUCAACUGAGAGCGCUGGGCUGGUUCGCGCUGCUGGGCGUGCGGCUAGGCCAGGAGAAGGUGGAGGAGGAGCGCGGGCCAGCCAUGGCCGUGUCGCCUCUCGGGGCCGUGCCCAAGGGCGCGCCGUUGCUGGUCUGCGGCUCCCCUUUCGGCGCCUUUUGCCCCGACAUCUUUCUCAACACGCUGAGCUGCGGGGUGCUCAGCAACGUGGCCGGCCCGCUGCUGCUCACCGACGCACGCUGCCUGCCCGGCACCGAGGGCGGUGGCGUGUUCACCGCGCGGCCCGCUGGGGCGCUGGUGGCGCUGGUGGUGGCGCCGCUCUGUUGGAAGGCCGGCGAAUGGGUGGGCUUCACGCUGCUCUGCGCCGCCGCCCCCCUUUUCCGCGCCGCCCGCGACGCGCUUCGCCGCCUGCCCCCCAGCGCCGCUGCCCUGGCUGCCCUCCUGCCGCCAGAGGUGGGCGUCCCGUGGGGUCUGCCCCUCCGAGACUCCGGGCCCCCGUGGGCAGCCGCGGCAGUGUUGGUGGAGUGCGGCACCGUAUGGGGCUCCGGAGUGGCUGUGGCACCCCGCCUUGUAGUGACCUGUCGGCACGUGUCCCCUCGGGAAGCAGCCAGGGUACUGGUGCGCUCCACCAUCCCCAAGAGUGUGGCCAUCUGGGGCCGUGUGGUAUUUGCCACUCAGGAGACAUGUCCCUAUGACAUAGCAGUGGUGAGCCUGGAGGAGGACCUGGAUGAUGUCCCCAUCCCUGUGCCCGCUGAGCACUUCCACGAAGGCGAGGCUGUGAGUGUGGUGGGCUUUGGCAUCUUUGGCCAGGCUUGCGGGCCCUCGGUGACCUCAGGCAUCCUUUCGGCUGUGGUGCAGGUGAAUGGCACGCCCGUAAUGCUGCAGACCACGUGUGCUGUGCACAGCGGCUCCAGUGGGGGACCCCUCUUCUCCAACCACUCAGGAAACCUCCUUGGCAUAAUCACCAGCAACACCCGGGACAAUAACACGGGGGCCACCUACCCCCACCUGAACUUCAGCAUUCCCAUCACGGUGCUCCAGCCGGCCCUGCAGCAGUACAGCCAGACCCACGACCUGGGUGGCCUCCGUGAGCUGGACCGUGCUGCUGAGCCAGUCAGGGUGGUGUGGCGGCUGCAGCGGCCCCUGGCAGAGGCCCCGAGGAGCAAGCUCUGAGGCUGUGUUACCACCUUUGGAAAGAAGAGUGACCUUUUUCUGCUGUAGGAAGUGAUGUUGAGGUGAUGGUGGCCUCAGGAUUCAGGGCCCAGCCCCUGCAGGGGCCCGGGCUACCUCUCAUCUCCACCCAGUGACUGCAGUCUGGGCUUUGGGCUCUGGGGCAAACUUCUCUUCAGCCCCAUGGAUCCUUAACCUGGCAGCCCGUUUUGGGGUGCUUUCUUGAGCCCCCAGUUCUCUGUCCCCUAGCACUAGACUCCGCUGUAUUGUUUUUCCUUCUGGGGAGCCCACUCCAACUGCACAGAAGUUCUGGGCCUGACAGGUAGAUGCCAGCUGGAAGGCAGGCCCAUGCCUGGUUUUGCGUCUGUUCCCCUGAGGGCCAUCGUCAUCCUGGAGCUUCAAUGGGGCCUUGGCUCCUGUCUGCCUCUCAGUCAGAGUCAGGGCUGACAGAGGACUCAGCUUCCUUAGCAUCUCAUCAGAAACCUUGCUGUGAAGACCAGAGACAGAAGGGACAGAAACAGGAGUGCCUCCUGCUGUGCCAGGCCCGUGGGCAGUGCAGGCAGAUCCCUGAAGCAGGGUGUGAGCUCAUGGGAUACGGUCCUGCCAGACUGGCCCUCAUAGCUGUUCAUGUGCCAGUCAGAGCUGGGUGGGGCUUGCAGGUCCCGGAAGGUGGUGGUCUUGACCUGGCAGCAGGUGCUUAAAGAAUGCCUAAGUGGGUCCUAAAGACCUUCCCAUGAGAGGGUCUCAAUCCUGGGGGAAGGAAUGCUGAUGUCAUGAAGCUUCCAUAAAAACCCAAGAGGACAGGGUUCAGAGAGCUUCUGGAUAGCUGAACACCUGGCGCUUCCUGGCAUGUGGCGUGCCCAGGGAGGGCACGGAAGCUCUGCACUCCUUCCCCUUUCCUCAUUCCUUGCUCUAUGUACGUCUCUUCAUCUGUAUCCUUUGCGAUAUCCUUUAUAAUAAACCAGUAAACA
Pongo pygmaeus (Bornean orangutan) is the source of this 3606-nucleotide RNA transcript. It is a transcript of the gene named trypsin like peroxisomal matrix peptidase 1, with no coding region annotated. The record is from RefSeq and is a predicted model, not a curated record. The transcript is spliced from 6 exons. NCBI's taxonomy places the organism in Eukaryota, Metazoa, Chordata, Mammalia, Primates, Hominidae.